ACUUACGGCCAUACCAUCCUGAAUACGCCUGAUCUCGUCUGAUCUCGGAAGCUAAGCAGGGUCGGGCCUGGUUAGGACUUGGAUGGGUGACCGCCUGGGAAUGCCAGGUGCUGUAAGUG
This 119-nucleotide ribosomal RNA is filed under the name Hucho hucho (huchen). Lineage: Eukaryota; Metazoa; Chordata; Actinopteri; Salmoniformes; Salmonidae. The record is from RNAcentral.